RNAcentral lists this ribosomal RNA (160 nucleotides) under Inocybe sp. NC-7282/1. RNAcentral describes it as "5.8S ribosomal RNA". It matches the Rfam family "5.8S ribosomal RNA". Rfam says of the family: 5.8S ribosomal RNA (5.8S rRNA) is a component of the large subunit of the eukaryotic ribosome. It is transcribed by RNA polymerase I as part of the 45S precursor that also contains 18S and 28S rRNA. The record is from RNAcentral. Lineage: Eukaryota; Fungi; Basidiomycota; Agaricomycetes; Agaricales; Inocybaceae.
UACAACUUUCAGCAACGGAUCUCUUGGCUCUCGCAUCGAUAAAAAACGCACCGAAAUGCGAUAAGUAAUGUGAAUUGCAAAAUUCAGGGAAUCAUCGAAUCUUUGAACGCAUCUGGCGCUCCUUGGUAUUCCAAGGAGCAUGCCUGUUUGAGUGUCAUAA